GGGGAUUUAGCUCAGUGAUAGAGUGCUUGCCUAGCAAGCACAAGGCCCUGGGUUCGGUCCCCAGCUCCG
This is a non-coding RNA of Rattus norvegicus (Norway rat), 69 nucleotides long. The record is from Rfam. NCBI's taxonomy places the organism in Eukaryota, Metazoa, Chordata, Mammalia, Rodentia, Muridae.